CUGACCUCGGAUCAGGUAGGGAUACCCGCU
This 30-nucleotide ribosomal RNA is filed under the name Sulcatispora acerina. Its description in RNAcentral is "partial 28S ribosomal RNA". The record is from RNAcentral. Lineage: Eukaryota; Fungi; Ascomycota; Dothideomycetes; Pleosporales; Sulcatisporaceae.